This 717-nucleotide ribosomal RNA is filed under the name Triticum aestivum (bread wheat). RNAcentral's name for it is "partial small subunit ribosomal RNA". The record is from RNAcentral. Lineage: Eukaryota; Viridiplantae; Streptophyta; Magnoliopsida; Poales; Poaceae.
AUGGCGCCCACGCCCUACUUCCUCCUCGGCGCCGCCCCGGAAGACACGCUGGCGGUUGACACGUCGGCCCAUGCCGUUGCGCCGGACCAAUCUGAUGCGAUGGCGCGGGCGGGGCUGCGCCACCAGGCGGCGUCCGGGCCGGGAAGGCAGCAGGCGGCCUCCGGCGGCGGCGGCAGCGGGACGCCGCUCAGGAAGACCCCGAGGCGCGGCCCCGGCGUGGCGGAGCUCGAGCGCCUGCGCUGCGGCGGCGGCGGGGCGCCGCCCAGGAGGACCCCGAACCCGCAGCGCGGCCUCAGCAUGGCGGAGCUCGAGCGACUGCGCUGCGGCGGCGUCGACCCGCAGCACGACCUCAACUCCGUCGUCCUGCAGCAGCACCACGACUACCUCCCCGCCUUCGACGCCGCCACCGGAUCCCGCUACUACUCGCCGCUCCUGGCAGAUAGAGGAACGCGGGACCCUGCCGCCGCCACCACCAACGCGCCAUACUACUCCAUCCACGAUCUCGACGCCACCAUAACGGCCGCUCGCAAGGAGACGGCCGGAGAAGGGUUCGAGGCAGCGGAGGGGAGGGAGGAGGUGCGGGGGAUCGAGUUCUUCCCGACGAGGGUCACCAGCCACGGCGGUCCCGACGAGUCCGAGCUGCGCACGACGCCGCCCUCCUCCUCGUCGCCGCCCGGUGGCGUCGGUGGCUCCCUGGACCUGUCCCUGAGGCUCUAG